This 508-nucleotide ribosomal RNA is filed under the name uncultured bacterium. RNAcentral's name for it is "partial 16S ribosomal RNA". It matches the Rfam family "Bacterial small subunit ribosomal RNA", at positions 28 to 523 of the family's 1533-position model. The record is from RNAcentral.
GAUGAACGCUAGCUACAGGCUUAACACAUGCAAGUCGAGGGGAAACGAUAUUGGAAGCUUGCUUCCGAUAGGCGUCGACCGGCGCACGGGUGAGUAACGCGUAUCCAACCUGUCCAUCACUUGGGGAUAACCUUGCGAAAGUAAGACUAAUACCCAAUGAUAUCUCAAGAAGACAUCUCAAUGAGAUUAAAGAUUUAUCGGUGAUGGAUGGGGAUGCGUCUGAUUAGCUUGUUGGCGGGGUAACGGCCCACCAAGGCGACGAUCAGUAGGGGUUCUGAGAGGAAGGUCCCCCACAUUGGAACUGAGACACGGUCCAAACUCCUACGGGAGGCAGCAGUGAGGAAUAUUGGUCAAUGGGCGAGAGCCUGAACCAGCCAAGUAGCGUGCAGGAUGACGGCCCUAUGGGUUGUAAACUGCUUUUAUAAGGGAAUAAAGUGAGCCUCGUGAGGCUUUUUGCAUGUACCUUAUGAAUAAGGACCGGCUAAUUCCGUGCCAGCCGCCGCAGUAA